UGGGGAAUAUUGGACAAUGGGGGAAACCCUGAUCCAGCGACGCCGCGUGUGUGAAGAAGGCCUGCGGGUUGUAAAGCACUUUUAGUGGGGACAAAAAGCUACGGAUUAAUACUCUGUGGUCUUGAUUUAACCCAAAGAAAAAGCACCGGCUAACUCUGUGCCAGCAGCCGCGGUAAUACAGAGGGUGCGAGCGUUAAUCGGAAUUACUGGGCGUAAAGCGCGCGUAGACGGUUUUGUAAGUCAGAUGUGAAAUCCCUGGGCUCAACCUGGGAACUGCAUUUGAGACUGCAUGGCUAGAGUAUCGAAGAGGGAAGUGGAAUUUCCGGUGUAGCGGUGAAAUGCGUAGAUAUCGGAAGGAACACCAGUGGCGAAAGCGACUUCCUGGUCGAAUACUGACGUUCAUGUGCGAAAGCGUGGGGAGCAAACAGGAUUAGAUACCCUGGUAGUCCACGCCAUAAACGAUGACAACUAGAUGUUGGGAGGGUCUGCCUCUCGGUGUCGCAGCUAACGCGUUAAGUUGUCCGCCUGGGGAGUACGGCCGCAAGGU
Molecule: ribosomal RNA, 547 nt
Filed under: uncultured bacterium
Lineage: Bacteria
Description: bacterial SSU rRNA
Rfam family: Bacterial small subunit ribosomal RNA
Source: RNAcentral